This 812-nucleotide long non-coding RNA is filed under the name Fragaria vesca (wild strawberry). RNAcentral describes it as "long non-coding RNA (FVES_LNC004318)". Lineage: Eukaryota; Viridiplantae; Streptophyta; Magnoliopsida; Rosales; Rosaceae. The record is from RNAcentral.
GUCAUUUUUUUAUGAAUUGAAAGUACUUAUACGUCGAAAAUUUAAAAUUUAAAUUUCGUCCCGGCAGCAAGUGUGCACGGCCUUCCUCCUAACUUAUCUUUUCUCCAUAGAUUUUCAUUAAAAUCACCGUCCAUCAGCCAUGGAAGUGUAGUAAGUUGCAGUAUUAGUGAUUGAAUGAGUUGCCAACUAUGAUCUCGUCCCCCUCUUGCAGCCACACCGUAAAUUCCAGUAAAGCGCCAUAGAUCGGUUCCUGGUUUGCCAAUAAUAUAAUCAAUGUGGUUUGGAGAGGCAUUUUGUAUCGAUACAUGAACUUCAUCAUUCCAUAUUGUUCAUGAGGGUACUAUAACACUGCAAAUCUAUAAACACUGAAAUGGAUUGUAGAGACAAGUUAAUCAACACAGUGAGAUUCAAAAGACCUGGUGCAAAACCUCAAUGAGGGAAAAAACACUAAGCAAGAUUAUCUCAUUAUCACUAUAAUCUUUGAUAUGAAUUUACAAGGAUUGUAGUUCUUACCACAACUACAACUUUCUCAAUCUCUCAUUUAUUUACACGUUACACUCUCUACACAAGAGAAUCGAUUCAUGCAACUCUACACAAGAGAAACUAAAUUCUAAUCGCCGAUACUUUAUCACUAUCAGCUUCUCCUUGGUUCUUCAGCGCAACCAGCAGUCUUUAUCUUUCUCAGAACUUCACAAAUCAAACCAGCAUCAACAAUCUCAAGUGCAACCUGAACAGGCAAAUAAGAGAGAGAGAGAGAGAGAGAGAGAGAGAGAGAGAGAGAGAGAGAGAGAGAGAGAGAGAGAGAGAGAGAG